CCUUUGCGUAUGUCGAGCUUCCUUCCUCAUGACCUUUGCCAUGGGUGGAGUGCCUCACUCUGGCCCCCAACAGUUUACAUUUAUAAUACAUCCAUCAUGUAAAUAUACCAUAUCCUCUAUAACUAAUUUCCUAUUGAUGGAUGUUUAGGCUGACUCCAGUUUGUCAAUAUUGAAACAAAGAUGAACAUUGUUGUUUAUAAAUAAGGCUCUAACAUGCAACCUUAGUCACCUAUUCCUAAGAGACUAUUUCCUGCUGUGGAUUCCUAGCAAGGGCUUGCUGCCUGAUACCCCUAGAAGCCAAUACUAUGGGACUUGCUUUUGAGAAAAGAAAUAGCUUUAUUGUGAGGUUGAUAGACAAAAGAGACAGGAGGCAGGGAUCAUCAACCCUGUCUCCUCCAUCCAAGGUUGGGAUAAAAUUUAAGGAGUUAGGGGAAGUUCAAACUUGGCUGAAGUUGAUUGGCUAGUCACUAAUCAACCCAUAUAUGGUAAACAAGCUACUCAGGUUGCUGGAAGCUAAAUUUUCCUUAUUGAAGGACUUCUUGGUUUGUGAAGAGCUCAUGUGGCAACAUUUGUAUUCUUUGACUUUCAUAUUCUUAAGAUUCUCGAUUCCUGGGUCAACCUAGAGUCAUGGGUUCCCAUCUCACAGAUGCACAGUGCUGUCUCUAAGACAAGUCCAGGUUUGAUUAAGCAACAACGUGUUUUAAGGAAGAAAACCAGUUUAGGAUGGUAAAGCUUGAGCUGCCAUCUUGGUGUAGCCAGCACUCCAUCCGUCUCACAAUCUGAAGUCAGAAGUCUUGAGUUGGAAAUCAAACCAAGAAACAAGAAUUUUAAUGGACGCAUAUGAAGCAGAAUCUAUCCUGUUUGCAAAUACUUCUAACUUAUGUUGAAAGGUACUGUCCAUAAAAGAUGUGGGUCCCUGGUAUGUGCCCAGUGUUAUAUCUACUGGAAUGCAAGAGUGAACCAGACAGAUUUUCUGGGUGUCAAGCAACAUCAACACUGAUGAACCCUGGAUUCAAGCCCAUCUUCUGGACCACAGGCUCACACUCUUUCACUACAAGAAGCCACAUGUUGAAGACGGAAGAGGUUUUAUUAGUCUGGGAUUCAAAUGCAAGAACCCCCAUGAUCAUCUCACCGUGACAACUAUUACACAUGCACACAUCUUUUCUCAUUGACUGGGAAUAUCGGUCCUAGAGUAUUAGAUACAUUGUUUUUUGCUUAAGUGUUUAACAUUUUGUAUAUAUUUGUUACUGCAGCUUAUCCUACCCUACGUACCUUGCACAGAAUCUGCAGGUUCUCAUUCUAUUUUUAUGAAAUGUAUAUAUUACAGGUAAACAGCCUGUAAGUGUUAAUAUGAUUCACUUACUUUUUGAUCAAAUAAAUUCAUUUGAU
Molecule: long non-coding RNA, 1389 nt
Organism: Bubalus bubalis (water buffalo)
Lineage: Eukaryota; Metazoa; Chordata; Mammalia; Artiodactyla; Bovidae
Exons: 5
Source: RefSeq, a predicted model, not a curated record